RNAcentral lists this transfer RNA (73 nucleotides) under Vicugna pacos (alpaca). RNAcentral's name for it is "tRNA-Und (NNN) (tRNA-Und-NNN-65-1)". It matches the Rfam family "tRNA". Rfam says of the family: Transfer RNA (tRNA) molecules are approximately 80 nucleotides in length. Their secondary structure includes four short double-helical elements and three loops (D, anti-codon, and T loops). The record is from RNAcentral. Lineage: Eukaryota; Metazoa; Chordata; Mammalia; Artiodactyla; Camelidae.
GGAGGGUAGAGCUCAGUGGUAGAGCACAUGCUUAGCAGACAGGAGGUCCCGGGUUCAAUCCCCGGUACCUCCA